This 468-nucleotide ribosomal RNA is filed under the name uncultured bacterium. RNAcentral's name for it is "partial 16S ribosomal RNA". It matches the Rfam family "Bacterial small subunit ribosomal RNA", at positions 28 to 507 of the family's 1533-position model. The record is from RNAcentral.
GACGAACGCUGGCGGCGUGCUUAACACAUGCAAGUCGAACGGAAAGGCCCUGCUUUUGUGGGGUGCUCGAGUGGCGAACGGGUGAGUAACACGUGAGUAACCUGCCCUUGACUUUGGGAUAACUUCAGGAAACUGGGGCUAAUACCGGAUAGGAGCUCCUGCUGCAUGGUGGGGGUUGGAACGCUUCGGCGGUUGGGGAUGGACUCGCGGCUUAUCAGCUUGUUGGUGGGGUAGUGGCUUACCAAGGCUUUGACUGGUAGCCGGCCUGAGAGGGUGGACAGCCACAAUGGGACUGAGAGAGGGACCAGACUCCUACGGGGGGCAGCAGUGGGGAAUAUUGCACAAUGGGCGGAAGCCUGAGGCAGCAACGCCGCGUGCGGGAAGACGGCCUUCGGGUUGUAAACCGCUUUCGCCUGUGACGAAGCGUGAGUGACGGUAAUGGGUAAAGAAGCACCGGCUAACUACGUG